CUUAGAGGACUGGGAAAGGAAGACAGGAAGCAAGGACUCCUGGAGAUAGUUCAGGCUACAUGUUAGCCUUGCUCUUACAACGCAGGGUUAGAGGUAAUGGAGCUUUUCUCAGAAAGCUAAAAGCAAUACACAGAUGAAGAUCAAACAGUAAAAGAUAAGAUGCUGGUCACUGCUUCUCCUGCUGGUCACCUUAAAGGAGGGAGUUGUAGAUUCUCCGACGAGCACUCAACUUCAAUGGAAGCAGAACAGCAGAUCAUCCCAAAACAGUUUUUAGCAGAUAUUUGAUAAACAGCAGCGUCAUUCUGGGUACAGCUAGGAUGAAGAGCAGACACAGGUCAUGGUCCCUCUGCUGAACAAACCAGCCACCCUGAAGUCACUAUGACUUGUGUGCAAGAAGAGAAAGGAAGAGAAGAAACCAAACCCAAGAGGCACAAAGGACAAGCUUGUGGCUUAAUGGAAGAGAGCUGGAUUUUUGUAUCUGUUUCUGUAUACAAUGUGAUGUAAUAUAUUGCUUGGGUUGAAGUAUGUGGGGAAAAUAUGGCCUCACACAGCCACCAGUGCAAUAGACCUAUCAAAACGGAUAUACUUUUAAAGGAGAAGAAGCUGAAAUUAUUGGCUACAGGACAUACAACGCUGAGAGUGAGCCCUGAUGUAAACCAUGGACUUCGAGGGGUAAUGACAUGUCAGUGGAGGCUCAUUGGUUGUAACACAUGUCCCAACCAUUUCUGGCGGGGUAUGUAGAUAGUGGGAGAGUCUGUGUUAGGGUCAGGAGGCGGUUAUAUAUAGAAACUGCUUUCUGCUCCAUUUCGCUGUGAACUUAACACUGCUCUAAAAAAUAAAGUCUCUUUAAAAGAGGGGGAAGCUAUCAGUACCAGGGCCCCACCAAAACCAAAACAAAACAGAACAAUUAAACCGCAUCUCAGGGCGAAGGGCUUUGCCACUGGUGUUUUUUAAGGCUCCCAGGUGAUUGCAAUGGGAAGUUAGCACUCAGAAAGUGCUGAGAUAAAAGAGCAUCAGCUCCUGUACCGAGUGGAUGGUGGAGGAGGGCUCUCGGCCUGGGCACCUGGGCACGUACCCGGAGUGAUUUCCUGGCUCUCGUUUGGCAGAAAAGUGCUGCUUUUGACAGCGUUUUGAGCCUCUGGGACCAAAUGCAGACCAACCAGACGUUCUCUGCACAAGAAAUGAGCAAAUUGAUUUCAGAAAGGAAAACAUCCCAUGGCCUUACUGCCUUACUGCCAACAGGCUUAGUGUACAGACGCCUGACCCCCUCGCUUAUCAAAGGAAAACUCAGGGGUGGCUGGAAGGAAUCCUUACCCGCCCCACCCAAGAGGCCACCAAGUGUCCCAGAAUGUCUCCAGAAACCUCAAGGGACAUUGUGACACUAGAAAGACUCGUAGAUUAAACUGUAAAUCCAUCUAUGAAAGACAUGGCAUCUUGAGAGCAGGCAGAGAACAAGGCACUGCUGGAUGCUGGCUCAGGGGACCCUGAGCUCUUUCAUAGAAACAAGUUAGCUUAGAAUCCUGAAGGACUAAUACUGUUCAUUUAUUUAAACACCGAGCAUGCUCCAAAACAAACCUUGAUUUUCCCAUCCAAACCUGCUUCUCGUCUCAAAACAAACUGCAAAUCCAUUCUACCAACUGCUCAGGCCACACAUCUUGGAGUCCAUCCUCCACGCCCCUCCAGCAUCCAGUCCAAGAGCAAUAUACCCAGGACUGUCAGACGGAUCCAGAACCUGACGGCUUCCUGCCACCUUCCAGAAGCACCGUGGACUGGGACCCUUCAUCUCUUGUCUGAAUUACCUCCACUGUGCCCUGUCUCCUCUAUAGGCAUAACAUUCACAACCCAGCAGCCAGCAGCAUCCUUUUAAAACCACGCCAGAAAAAAAUCAUCGCUCUGUUUAGAAACCCUCCUGCAUGCCUGCAUCUCCUUCAAAGUAGGAUCCAAAGGACUCACAGCUUGUGGCCUCCAAGACCCAACAGUCUUGUCUCUGGGAUUCAUCUUCCACGACAGCGCCCUCCCUCGACCCUCUCCAGCCCCAGGGCCCUCGCAUGCUCCCACCUCAGGGCUCCCUUCUGCCCUGGCUACUCCGUCCGAUGAGAAAGCUCUUCCCCAGGUGCCAAUCCCUUCCCUCUCCCACUCCUCCCCAUCUCACCCCUGCUGCCAGCACCGCAUCAGAGAGCCCUGCCCUCCUUCCCCUCUUUGCCACCAGGCCCUGUACUGGUUUGUGGGUCUAACGUGUGACUCCACCUCUCACCCCUCGUCCACAAGAUCGAGGACUUGACUGGGCUGCUGCUACUUUGGGUUUAAAGCCACUGCAGCAGGAGUUAAACAGAGUCAACUGGCUUCCUAGGGGAAAAAAAACCACAAAGAAGCAAUUUGACCGGACAUUUGAAUAGACAGUGGAAACUGCGAUUACAUGCCUGUCUACUGCUCUAUCAGUUGAUUUCAAACCUUCAGAAAUAGAAGUUGGAGUAGUUACAGUUGGAAAUCCUAAAUUCAAGAUUCUUAGAAAAGCAGAGAUUGACGCUAAACCUUGUUACUCCAGCAGGGAGAGACUAACCACUGCCGUGAACUUACCAAAGGAUGCUACUUGCCAGUGUGUCUGGUAACAACAGACCAGCAUUAUGGGGGCCCUGGGACUGAAAAAGGAACCUCUCUUACUCCUCCUGCCACUGAAGCGAUUACAACUCUGUUUAAAUAAAACUAGUCCUUUUGGAAAAUGAAAAAACAACCCAAAACAAACAA
Molecule: non-coding RNA, 2745 nt
Organism: Vicugna pacos (alpaca)
Lineage: Eukaryota; Metazoa; Chordata; Mammalia; Artiodactyla; Camelidae
Source: RefSeq, a predicted model, not a curated record